CUUUAGGAGACCUUGGCCCGGGUGAUGGGUUGUGGGGAACCACCUACAGGAAGGGGACUGCUGGAGGCGGAACAGCCCUCAACCUGAAAGGACCCGUGCCCAAACUGAAGGGCAGGCAUCUCCUUCUCCCCCUCCUCGCCCUUCCCUUAUGCUCACAAACCCCAGCUCUCUGCUACUUUUUAUAACGCUUUAUUCGAGAUCCUGCUACACAUCCAGAAAACAAUCCCACCCUACGGAAUUCAUUUCUGCACUCCAAAUGCUGGGCGCGAGACGGGCUCAGAUACCCAGUGUUGGUGAGGACAAGAAGGGUUACAGGUGAUGCAUUCACAGGGGGCAGCAGGGCUGCGGGGGGGGGGGGGGGGGGGGGGGGGGGGGGGAGGGCAGUGAGUGUGGCUGGGCAGGCAGGGCUGCAGGUGGGGACCAGAGAAGGGGUAUAGGGAUGUUUAUGAGACCUAGAUGGAUUUUAUCCACCAGGCCCUGUUGAUGGAUUAGAAGUGGAGGGCGACUAGUGGGCUUCUGGCUGGCCCUGCUGAGUGGGUACUGAUGACAUUAAGGGUGUGGGGGCAGGGGGAGGAGACCAGAGGAGAAGCAGCAGGGAAGGGAGGUGAAGGAAGAUGUGACCUCAGUUUUGGCCAGGUGAGUUUGAGGUCAAGGUGGGCAUGAGUAUAAGGUCAAGGGCUAGAUUGGUGAGCCAGAGGGUCCAGUAGGGCGGCAAGCCCACCCUGCGAGGAGGAGCUGGGAGGGCAAAGCUGGAAGGCCCCUUGGAUCUGCAGAUUUCGAAUCGCUCAUCUCAACCUACCAGCCACCAGCCUCCUGCAUCUGUUUAUUUCUACAUUAAAUACAAUGAAAUGCAAUUUGAAACGCGGUUCUUUACUCACGUGAGCCACAUUUCCAAUGCUCAACAGCUACAUGUGACCAGUGGCUGCCGUAUCAGACCACUUCCAAAUGGAAGCAAGUCCCAGAAGACCAGGAAGUCACCCCAGGGGAAAUGGCUUCUCCCCCCUUUUAUGCCACCUUUGAACCAGCGUCCGGGCCCCACGGGAUCAUCUCGUAGGUACCCACCAGCCAAGGACUACCAGGACCGGUGCCUGUGGUAAGGUUUAUCAAUCGGCUGCAAUCAGGGGGAGGGCCCAAUGUGGGGAACUGGAGGGGUCUCCAUGAGGGCCGUCAGGAAGGACUUUCGGCAGAAUUUGUACUUGCCUUAGGUACUUAGGGAAGUUCAAGGUAGCGUCACUUUACUGAGGCCCUCCUUUUUAUUGGACACUCAGGGGGCGCCUGGGUGGCUCGGUCACUUAGGCGUCUGACUUUGGCUCAGGUCAUGAUCUCACAGUUUGUGGGUUCAAACCCCACAUCGGGCUCUGUGCUGACAGCUGGGAGCCUGAAGCGGCUUCGGAUUCUGUGUCUCCCUCUCUCUCUGCCCCUCCCCCACUAGCACUGUCUCUUUCUUUCAAAAAUAAAUAAAACUUUAAAAAAAAAAAAAAGGAAAAA
This 1488-nucleotide long non-coding RNA is filed under the name Felis catus (domestic cat). Its description in RNAcentral is "lncRNA (ENSFCAG00000048533.1)". Lineage: Eukaryota; Metazoa; Chordata; Mammalia; Carnivora; Felidae. The record is from RNAcentral.